Molecule: ribosomal RNA, 165 nt
Filed under: Veronica lilliputiana
Lineage: Eukaryota; Viridiplantae; Streptophyta; Magnoliopsida; Lamiales; Plantaginaceae
Description: 5.8S ribosomal RNA
Rfam family: 5.8S ribosomal RNA
About the family: 5.8S ribosomal RNA (5.8S rRNA) is a component of the large subunit of the eukaryotic ribosome. It is transcribed by RNA polymerase I as part of the 45S precursor that also contains 18S and 28S rRNA.
Source: RNAcentral
UAAACGACUCUCGGCAACGGAUAUCUCGGCUCUCGCAUCGAUGAAGAACGUAGCGAAAUGCGAUACUUGGUGUGAAUUGCAGAAUUCCGUGAACCAUCGAGUCUUUGAACGCAAGUUGCGCCCGAAGCCUUCUGGCCGAGGGCACGCCUGCCUGGGCGUCACGCA